Molecule: ribosomal RNA, 253 nt
Filed under: uncultured bacterium
Lineage: Bacteria
Description: partial 16S ribosomal RNA
Rfam family: Bacterial small subunit ribosomal RNA
Source: RNAcentral
UACGUAGGCAGCACGCGUUGUUCGGAGUUACUGGGCGUAAAGGGUGUGUAGGCGGUUCUCUAAGUCUGGUGUGAAAUCUCCCGGCUCAACUGGGAGGGUGCGCCGAAAACUGGAGGACUAGAGUGCGGGAUGGGAGAGUGGAAUUCCUGGUGUAGCGGUGAAAUGCGUAGAUAUCAGGAGGAACACCUGUGGUGUAGACGGCUCUCUGGACCGCAACUGACGCUGAGACACGAAAGCGUGGGUAGCAAACAGG